Molecule: ribosomal RNA, 752 nt
Filed under: uncultured Rhodospirillales bacterium
Lineage: Bacteria; Pseudomonadati; Pseudomonadota; Alphaproteobacteria; Rhodospirillales
Description: bacterial SSU rRNA
Rfam family: Bacterial small subunit ribosomal RNA
Source: RNAcentral
AGAGUUUGAUCAUGGCUCAGAACGAACGCUGGCGGCAUGCCUAACACAUGCAAGUCGAACGGGAUCCAUCCUUCGGGAUGGUGAGAGUGGCGGACGGGUGAGUAACGCGUGGGAACCUGCCCAGUGGUGGGGGAUAACUGCGGGAAACUGCAGCUAAUACCGCAUGAGCCCGCAAGGGGAAAGAUUUAUCGCCAUUGGAGGGGCCCGCGUUCGAUUAGGUAGUUGGUGAGGUAAUGGCUCACCAAGCCUUCGAUCGAUAGCUGGUCUGAGAGGAUGAUCAGCCACACUGGGACUGAGAUACGGCCCAGACUCCUACGGGAGGCAGCAGUGGGGAAUAUUGGACAAUGGGGGCAACCCUGAUCCAGCAAUGCCGCGUGAGUGAUGAAGGCCUUCGGGUUGUAAAGCUCUUUUGCCAGGGACGAUGAUGACGGUACCUGGAGAAUAAGCCCCGGCUAACUUCGUGCCAGCAGCCGCGGUAAUACGAAGGGGGCAAGCGUUGUUCGGAAUUACUGGGCGUAAAGGGCGCGUAGGCGGCUUACCAAGUCAGGCGUGAAAUUCCCGGGCUCAACCUGGGGGCUGCGCUUGAUACUGGUGAGCUUGAAUGCGGGAGAGGAUAGUGGAAUUCCCAGUGUAGAGGUGAAAUUCGUAGAUAUUGGGAAGAACACCAGUGGCGAAGGCGGCUAUCUGGCCCGUAAUUGACGCUGAGGCGCGAAAGCGUGGGGAGCAAACAGGAUUAGAUACCCCCGUAGUCC